This 236-nucleotide long non-coding RNA is filed under the name Homo sapiens (human). RNAcentral describes it as "HSALNT0324250". The record is from RNAcentral. Lineage: Eukaryota; Metazoa; Chordata; Mammalia; Primates; Hominidae.
CCGGGCUCAUCGCCGCGGCUCAUCUCUCUCGCAACCGCCGCCGCACGCACCCGCUCCGCCGCCCCGCGCAGGGCAUCCUGUCGCCAGCGCAUCCCUCAGAGGAGUUUCAGCAUUUGGGGAUUUGAACGGCCCAUGACCAAUAUUGUGAAAGGACUUUUGUUUGCUGCAAUGAAAAGAAGACUCCUAUUUUUCAAUAAUGAAUUAACCUAAACAUGUAUUAAAAUAUGCUCAUGAAA